Molecule: ribosomal RNA, 439 nt
Filed under: uncultured bacterium
Lineage: Bacteria
Description: partial 16S ribosomal RNA
Rfam family: Bacterial small subunit ribosomal RNA
Source: RNAcentral
CCUACGGGCGGCAGCAGUGGGGAAUAUUGCACAAUGGGGGAAACCCUGAUGCAGCGACGCCGCGUGAGUGAAGAAGUAUCUCGGUACGUAAAGCUCUAUCAGCAGGGAAGAAAAUGACGGUACCUGACUAAGAAGCACCGGCUAACUACGUGCCAGCAGCCGCGGUAAUACGUAGGGGGCAAGCGUUAUCCGGAUUUAUUGGGUGUAAAGGGUGCGCAGGCGGGGUUGCAAGUCAGUGGUCAAAUUGCGGGGCUCAACCCCGUACUGCCGUUGAAAAUGCAUCCCUUGAGUGCGCGAGAAGUAGGCGGAAUGCGUGGUGUAGCGGUGAAAUGCAUAGAUAUCACGCAGAACUCCGAUUGCGAAGGCAGCAUACCGGCGCGCAACUGACGCUCAUGCACGAAAGCGUGGGUAUCGAACAGGAUUAGAUACCCUAGUAGUC